UGCCGCGAUGGCGGAAUUGGUAGACGCGCCAGGUUCAGGGUCUGGUGGGCGUACGCCUGUGAGGGUUCAAAUCCCUCUCGCGGCAA
RNAcentral lists this transfer RNA (86 nucleotides) under Spirochaetes bacterium ADurb.BinA120. RNAcentral's name for it is "tRNA-Ser". It matches the Rfam family "tRNA". From Rfam's summary of the family: Transfer RNA (tRNA) molecules are approximately 80 nucleotides in length. Their secondary structure includes four short double-helical elements and three loops (D, anti-codon, and T loops). Lineage: Bacteria; Pseudomonadati; Spirochaetota. The record is from RNAcentral.